RNAcentral lists this ribosomal RNA (433 nucleotides) under uncultured bacterium. RNAcentral's name for it is "partial 16S ribosomal RNA". It matches the Rfam family "Bacterial small subunit ribosomal RNA", at positions 29 to 507 of the family's 1533-position model. The record is from RNAcentral.
AACGAACGCUGGCGGCAUGCCUAACACAUGCAAGUCGAACGAGACCUUCGGGUCUAGUGGCGCACGGGUGCGUAACGCGUGGGAACCUGCCCUUAGGUUCGGAAUAACUCCCCGAAAGGGGUGCUAAUACCGGAUAAUGUCUUCGGACCAAAGAUUUAUCGCCUUUGGAUGGGCCCGCGUUGGAUUAGCUAGUUGGUAGGGUAAAAGCCUACCAAGGCGACGAUCCAUAGCUGGUCUGAGAGGAUGAUCAGCCACACUGGGACUGAGACACGGCCCAGACUCCUCGGGGAGGAGGCGGGGGGAAAUAUUGAAAAAGGGGCGAAAGCCUGACCCAGCAGUGCCGGGUGAGGGAUGAAGGCUUUAGGGUUGAAAAGCUUUUUUACCGGGGAUGAUAAUGACGGUACCGGGAGAAAAAGCCCCGGCUAACUCCGUG